UACGUAGGGGUCGAGCGUUGUCCGGACUUACUGGGCGUAAAGCGUGCGUAGGUGGCUAGUUAUGUGCCGUGUGAAAGCGCCGCGCUUCUCGCGGCGAGGUCGCGGUAGACAGACUAGCUAGAGGCACGGAGAGGGGCGUAGAAUUCCCGGUGUAGUGGUGAAAUGCGUAGAUAUCGGGAGGAAUACCAGUGGCGAAAGCGGCGCCCUGGCCGUGACCUGACACUGAGCCACGACGGCGUGGGGAGCAAACGGG
This 253-nucleotide ribosomal RNA is filed under the name uncultured bacterium. Its description in RNAcentral is "partial 16S ribosomal RNA". It matches the Rfam family "Bacterial small subunit ribosomal RNA", at positions 524 to 776 of the family's 1533-position model. The record is from RNAcentral.